UUAGUUGAAACCAAAAUAGAGGUCUACCACUGUUAAUGGUAAAAUUGGAAUUCCUCCCUUCUAAG
RNAcentral lists this transfer RNA (65 nucleotides) under Curculionoidea sp. 9 KM-2017. RNAcentral's name for it is "tRNA-Asn". The record is from RNAcentral. Lineage: Eukaryota; Metazoa; Arthropoda; Insecta; Coleoptera.